RNAcentral lists this ribosomal RNA (253 nucleotides) under uncultured bacterium. RNAcentral describes it as "partial 16S ribosomal RNA". It matches the Rfam family "Bacterial small subunit ribosomal RNA", at positions 524 to 776 of the family's 1533-position model. The record is from RNAcentral.
UACAGAGGGUGCGAGCGUUGUCCGGAAUCACUGGGCGUAAAGGGCGCGUAGGCGGCCCGAUACGUAGGGGGUGAAAUCUUGCGGCUUAACCGCAAGGCUGCCUUCUAAACUGUCGGGCUGGAGCACGGUAGAGGCAGAUGGAAUUCCCGGUGUAGCGGUGGAAUGCGUAGAGAUCGGGAAGAACACCAGUGGCGAAGGCGGUCUGCUGGGCCGUUGCUGACGCUGAGGCGCGACAGCGUGGGGAGCAAACAGG